Molecule: ribosomal RNA, 495 nt
Filed under: uncultured bacterium
Lineage: Bacteria
Description: partial 16S ribosomal RNA
Rfam family: Bacterial small subunit ribosomal RNA
Source: RNAcentral
GACGAACGCUGGCGGCGUGCCUAAUACAUGCAAGUAGAACGCUGAAGGAGGAGCUUGCUUCUCUGGAUGAGUUGCGAACGGGUGAGUAACGCGUAGGUAACCUGCCUGGUAGCGGGGGAUAACUAUUGGAAACGAUAGCUAAUACCGCAUAAGAGUAGAUGUUGCAUGACAUUUGCUUAAAAGGUGCAAUUGCAUUAUUACCAGAUGGAGCUGCGUUGUAUUAGCUAGUUGGUGAGGUAACGGCUCACCAAGGCGACGAUACAUAGCCGGCCUGAUGAGGGGGUCGGCCAAAACGGGACUGGGACCCGGCCCAGACUCCUACGGGGGGCAGCAGGAGGGGAACUUCGGCAAUGGACGGAAGUCUGACCGAGCAACGCCGCGGGAGGGAAGAAGGGUUUCGGAUCGUAAAGCUCUGUUGUAAGGGAAGAACGAGUGUGAGAGUGGAAAGUUCACACUGUGACGGUAUCUUACCAGAAAGGGACGGCUAACUACGUG